Molecule: unclassified non-coding RNA, 6722 nt
Filed under: Pectinophora gossypiella (pink bollworm)
Lineage: Eukaryota; Metazoa; Arthropoda; Insecta; Lepidoptera; Gelechiidae
Description: uncharacterized LOC126373226
Source: RNAcentral
UUGAACACCGACCGUCGUCCCGCGCUAUCUUCACAGCGGACAACGCGUUCCAUAUUCAAACCGACGCGUUCUAAACUCAAAAAACGUGUCUAUUAUCACCUUAUUUUUAUAUUUUUGUAAAAAGAAUACUUGUGACGUAUUUGUGUAACAGCCAGUACUUUUCGCGAAACUGUUUUCGAAUUUAUUUACUGUAUUGGAAACUUUUUAAUGAAUAUUUUAUUGGUAAACCCAAUGCAAACAGUGGUUAAACUAACAUGACAAGCAAACAAAGUUAAAGUGUGAUAUAAUCGGCGUCUGUCGGGGAUUCGCGUUGUUACUAAAAUAAACUCCAUCAAACAGAUAUAAUUAUACCACUGAAUGUAAACAGGGAAUGAACGAAUGAACUGAAGUAGGUAUCUGAGCACUUCAACCAAUUGUAUAAACAAUGAUGUUGCGGUCGGUACCUUUGUAUACUUUAUGACCUAUACUCUGUAGCGUCUACAUAAUAGACCACAAAAUAGAAGUGUAUUUCAAAGUGAUUGAAUUAAAAAUAAAGUGCAGAUUAGUGCAAAGUCAUGGGAUUUCAAACACUACAACGUUAAAUGUAUCACUUUGGUUGAAAGGAUUUUCCGGGACUUCACGCCAAGUAUCGAUCAAGAUGCCGCUUCCAAAAUUAAAGCGAUGUUGCGGAUGUGUGCCGUUGGAGACAGGAUGCAUCGCUCUGGGUUUCAUAUCAUUUAUGGCGUGCAUCGCAGCGAUCGGAGUGUGCUCAUGGAAGCUUCCAGAACACAAGGAGCAGCAGAAUGAAGACAACCUGGUGCUCCUCAGCAUGACCAUGUUUGCCACGCUGUCUGCCAUCAGCAACCUCACUGUCCUUGCUGGGAUCGCGCUGAAGCGGCCAUCAUUCCUACAGCUGGCGAUCCUGUCCAACUCUGUGUUCAUCCUGUGCAUAUUCCUGAUCUCCAUAGUCACGUGUCUCUUCAGCCCUGGUCUCGAGCCCCAUCUGCAGUCAGCCGGGAACAUCACUCUGGUCGUCAUACUGCUUAUCAGUGGAGCUGUGUAUUCAAUGUACUACAUGACUAUAGUAAACAGUCAAUAUACGAAGAUGAAGAUGGCAUACGGAGACAGCGCCAUACCGGUGUGACAGUGAAUGUUUUACUGUGUUCAAUGAUAACACAGAACUAUGAACUUUACAGUGAUACUUACGUAUAUAAACCCUCGCUUAUACCCCUAAUGGGGUGGGCAGAGCCACAAGUAGCAGAAGACUUGCAGCCACUUUUGAUACGAAGGGAUACGAAGUCCGAGAAUGGAUUUAUUGAACCUUAUGGUGUAGUUAGGUAAGCGAGUAACUAGAUGUCGCUAACCGUAUAGCUUACAUGUGAAAGUAGCGCCAUCUAGUGACGGUGUGUCGUAUCAUUAUGGACACUUUAUGGACACUUCGACAGUUAGUACAAAUGCUCGCCACUGGCGCUCCAUUUGCGCGCGAAAUAGCGGCAACUUUUCUAGUAUGGCGAAGCAAGGAUCUCUCUGUUUUACGUAGUACCUAUAUUAAUUAUCCCAUGCUAACGGUAUUUAAACAGAUUCCCUUGCUCCUCUAUUGGAACGGCAGAAUAGAAUCUCAGAAUUUGAAAACGAAUAGUGUCUGCAAGGUAUCUUCUGGCAGCUUGUGGUAAAACAUUUGUCUAGUCUUUAAGAUGCUAAAGUAUUUUCAACGUCUGAUUAUAAUGUGGUGGUUUACACGUCCACCAAUCUGCAGUGGAGCAGCGUGGUGAAGUAUAUACCCCACAUCUCCUUCGGUUGAUUGAGGAGAGGUCUGUUUGACAUAGGUAUAUAGUAUAAGGUAUAAGCCUUAGACUGUUUGUUAUAAAUUAUAAUGAUGAUAUUCAGGGUUAUUAGUGACAUCGUAACGAAAACUUUGAAGGAUGAUUCAGACCUUGAUUCUGAGUUCUAGUGGAAUUUCCUGUCGGAAAUUUCAUGAAAAAUUAGUUUAUUUUUUAAUUAAUUUAAAAAUUUUCAGUUCCAUAAUAUUAUUAUGCUUUGAGCUGCAUAGAACACUAAAAAGGAACAUUGCAAAUCAAACAAUCGUCUAGCGACAUUUCGCGUUGUUCGAUUUACAUUACGCCGCAGCAAAAACUUUAAAUUUUAAUUAAAGUUUUCAAAGAAAACAAUUCUAGAAAUUUGUUUUUGCUACGGUGUCACUAACACCCUGUAUAAGGUUGAAUAUUUCGCUUUUCUUGUUUACAAAGGCAGAUAACUUAGCUUGUAAGUCAAUAAUUUACCGAACGAACGCCAAUUCUAUUGCAGAAGCAACAUAACUGUAUUGAAUAUCGAUUGCGCUAUAUUAUUGAUAGCAUUCGGAACGUGUACAAAGUCAAGGCCCCUUCAAAUUACUAGGCCGAGCCCUUCUUCAUUUAAGACAUAAUAACAAUAAAUUACUGUCCAAAAGUUUAUGGGCAUCCUUGGCCAUGUUGUGGAGGCCCUAUCACACAAGGACGCCAUAGUGGCACAUACAAAUGUAAACGCAGGGCUAGCUAACAUUUACCCCGAUACCCUCAUUCAGCGCUUAUCGCUAUCGACCCUCUAGGGUCGAUUAAUUCUUUCAAAUAUUUUUCCUCUCAGACGACGCCCUGAGCAGAGGUUCGAGCGCAACUGGGUUGCCCAAACUGCGGCAACUAGGUAUGUAACCAGCCUCAACUCAGGGUUAGGUAUUCUGUUGCAUAGUGAUAUACCAUUAUAAGAAAUCUCAGAUAAAUUACACAAAGUGUUAGUGACGUAAUGAAUACUGAGCGCGAUGGUUCUGACCAUGAUUCUGAGUUGAUAUCAAGUGGAAUUUCCGGUCGGAAAAUGUAUAAUUAUUUUUUUUACUAUUUUCUAUUCUAUACUUUUGCGACGGAAAAUUGUACUUGAUAUCAUUUCAGAAUCAUGGUCUGAAUCAUCAGUAUUCGUUACGAUGUCACUUACACCUCGUACAAGUACAUACAGAAAGCCAUACAAGUAGGUAUGGGUGUUAGUGACGACGUAAUGAAUACUGAGCGGUAUGAUUCAGACCAUGAUUCUAAGUUGACAUCAAGUGGAAUUUCCUGUCGGAAAAUUCAUAAUUAUUUUUUAUUAUUAUCUAUUCUAUACUUUUGCGACGGAAAAUUGCUCUUGAUAUCAUCCCUGAAUCAUGGUCUGAAUCAUCCCUCAAAGUUUUUGUUACGAUGUCACUAACACCCUGUAGAUGGGAGUUGACUUAAGGCUAGCUUAACACAAUUUUCUUGUCACGACGUCGUGUCGUAGAUUUCCACGACGCGACGUCGUAUCGUGUUUAUGUGUGGGAGCCCUUAGGUUAUUACUUUUAUAAGUUAACAAACCCGCGUUGGCGCUGGUUAAUGCUCUUUACCACCUUCACUAGAUUGACGGAAAGCGUGUGCUGUGUACAAUAUUACUUGCUUGAUGUGUUCGUUUAGUUCGGAAAAUACCAGUCAUUGAAACGUAAUUUUUAUUGAUGUAAUACGCCGUCAGUGAAAUAUAGCUUAAGUUUCGUAAGAUUUUCGUAAGAAUGAAAGUUAAUUAAAUUAAAUAUGUUUUAUGAUAAAAUGUAAUAAUCGAGCUUUUUUAUAAAUGGAAAAUAUUUUAUACUGUAAACUAAGCAGGUGCCUAUGUAAAAAUAUAAAUAAUUAUUAUAAAGGAAAUAUAUUAUUAUACUCUACUACGCAUAAACAGUUUCAAUCAGUUGCCUAAAUGUUUACUUAAAUAAAACAUUUUAAAAAUAUUAUACGAGUUAUAAGUGAUUUAUAAAAUAAAACAAAACAUAAUUAUUUAACCUUUUUAUUUAAAUACUCAGUGCAUUUAUAUAACAAAGCGUUGUACAACAAUCACAAACAUCAAAAUUUCUAUAAAAUUAAAUUCAAUUUUAUACAUUUUAUGUAAAAAAUAAAUGUCACGACAUUUAAAGCGUUUUUAAUUGAUCGAUAGUUGUGCGAACAUUCGCGGGUUUAAAGGUCUUCCUCACUAUAGCAUUUGACUCACAGAAUGUUGAAUACUUGUGCUAUAACGCCAUUUAGAUACAGAAUUCACUUAGCAGAUGUUAUGCAGUACAUAGGUAAAUAAUUUUACACAAAAUAUUUCACUCAUCAAACGCUCGAUCAAAGCUUUUUCGAUAUACUUAAAUUAAAAGUACUUUAAACCGCGAUGUUACCACUAAAAAUUACACAAGAUACUGGUUCAAAUACAUAUAUCAAGUACUUUCUGUAAAGAGAAAAUUAUUAGAUAAUAUAUUAUUUUAUAGUCCACAUAUGUGCCAGGAGUAUUUUUCAAGUAACCUUACUUUUAAAUAAUUUUGAAAAUGGAUUUCUGAAACAAAUAAAUUCCAAUCACAUUAAAUACCUCAAAACAACGUAAAUACACAUAUGUUUGAAAAGAGCCAUCUCCUCGUAUCGAAUAAAUAUUCAAAAGUACAAGGAAAAUAAUAAAAAAUCCUUUUGAACCAGUUCCUUUUGACACAGUUUAAUAAAUACAUGCACUGAACACACGCGACAUAACAGUGACAACCGAAACCCAUCACAUCCAAUGGGACGCGCAAUUUGAAAACUUCGCAGAAUUCAGCUUUGCGAAUUCACAAGUUCUAGCUUCGCGAAUUCGAAAGCUCUGGCUUCGCAACUUCACAUGUCACAUCACCGUUACUGAUAUAUUUCGGUCGUGACUUCGCAACCUCAUAAACUUCUUACGCUUAUAAAACACUCUAACAAACAUCUAAUAGUACUUCAUAUUCAUAACAUCAGAAUACACCCACAAUGAAUAAAUAUACAAUAUAGUAUAUAGUGUAUGCGUUUUCAAGAUUAUAAUACUAUCAAAAACAAAAUAUAGAAUAUCCGAAGGUAGAAGAUAAACUUUCAAAAUACAAUAAAGUUUCAAAAUAUUAAAUGUCCCGUUCCACGAGCGUCUCUUUUCAGUAAUAAAAUAUAAACCCAGUUACCCGGUGAAAAACCUCAAUAUUGUUAUUAAAUUGUUGAGUAAAAAUAGGUAAAUACCUAUGUAAUAAAUAUAAGUAAUCAUUUCAUAAAUAAAUAGGGACUAUUAAUUUUAUAAUAUUCUUAAACAUAGAAAUUUUGAGAAGCAAAUAGAAAGAUUUAUUUUAUUAUAUUUUCAUCAUAAUUUUUUACUAUUAUUAUUGGCAAAUUCAGAGUUUUUAUUUCACUUGUCAUACAUUAUAAACAUAUAAGCAAUGAAACAUUAGAUAAAAUAUAUCUAUUUGCUUCUCUAUAAACGUACAUAAAUAAAUGUCUGGACAUAAUUUUAGCAAGAUUUUAAUUAAAGCGAAGGACGUGUUAUUGUCAUUUUUAUUUUCUUUAUAUUGGUUCUACACGAGACACGUAGAUACAUCUAAAAGUACGGCAAGUAUAUACAGAAUGUUCCUUUCUUUUUCUCUCCAGUGGAUUGUGAGAUCAAUGACCGACGUCAUCAACGCACCAUUCCUUCAACUACCAGAGAAGAUAAUAAAAACUUUUCUUUCUCUGUCCCAGCAAAUAUCAGUCACGAUUUACGAUGAAUGUUAAGGUUAUUUCUUAUAAUUUAUAGGGUAUUUUGUAAACUUUUUCGUGUAUCUCACACUAAGUAUAUCCCGCGAAAAAUAGAAAACACUCAGCAGGAGAUAGCUACAUACACAUGUGGUAGCUAUUAUGUAUGAUUUCGCUUGAACAUUUCUAUUUUUUGGAAGAUCCUGUAUUACUUACCGUUAUGGCCUUAAUUUAUCAAAAUACCAUAUACAUUAUGUUCGACGAAGAGAGCGAAAUCCAAGCAUUUUAUAUAGAAAAAAAAUUAAUUCUUUAGCAAAGUAUUGGAAUUAGUAGUCAUAAUAUAAAAGCGACUCUAUAUUAUUAGUAUAUUUUUUAAAUGAUAGAAAAAUGCUUGGAAUUCACUCACUCAAUAAUUAUACAUGGCUACAUAAAUACAAUUUCUACAGAUACACAUUUUACAAAUCGAAUAUUAUUACCCAUUAAUAGAAUUUAUUUCUGCUAAAUAUUAUUUAAUAAUAUUUCGCUGAUUAUAAUAUCCGCAUAAAGAUAUGUAUAGUACGAGAUAUAGAGGUACAUAAGACGUGAUACAUUGGCAUUGUUUACAUAGUUAUAGAGCUCGAAAAUAUGAAAGCAUAAAAUAAGCAUUCAGUACUAUCUGCAACCAUUUAUUAUUUAUAAGAAAAAAAUUUAUCAAAAAUUAUGUACUUAUCGCUUACUUAUAAAUUCCACUGAGAUGCGUUAAAUUGUUAAGUAGAAAUUGCGUCUAAAAAGACUACGGUCCUUUUUGGAACCACAUGGUUUAAAAAAUCAGUAAACCUGGUAAUAGGUACAUGGGAAACGCGUCAAAAGUGUGGACAACUUGAAAAAAAGAGACUAACAUAUAUUUUUUCAAUAAGUAACUUUUAAAUGCCUUCGAUAUGUAUAUAACAUAGAAAAUAUGUAUACAUAUAAAUAUAUACGUAUAAAAUAUGUCACUGAUACCUUAAGCUCUUCUGUUUAACAACCUAGGCUACAUAGCUAUCAUGAGUCGCAGCGCGCUGUCAGAACUAAUUACUAUAUUAACUUUUUGAUACGUCUAUGAACAAGAUUAUAGCUUGUAAACACACGACAGCAAUUUUGUAAUAAAUCCUAUACUUUAUGCACUCAAACGAUAUGAUAUAUUUAACAUGUUUAUAAUUUUCUUCUAACACCAAUUACUUUCAAAACAAACUACUAUAAUAAUAAACUAUAUUUUCAAAACGAAAA